Molecule: transfer RNA, 86 nt
Filed under: Gemmatimonadales bacterium
Lineage: Bacteria; Pseudomonadati; Gemmatimonadota; Gemmatimonadia; Gemmatimonadales
Description: tRNA-Leu
Rfam family: tRNA
About the family: Transfer RNA (tRNA) molecules are approximately 80 nucleotides in length. Their secondary structure includes four short double-helical elements and three loops (D, anti-codon, and T loops). Further hydrogen bonds mediate the characteristic L-shaped molecular structure. tRNAs have two regions of fundamental functional importance: the anti-codon, which is responsible for specific mRNA codon recognition, and the 3' end, to which the tRNAs corresponding amino acid is attached (by aminoacyl-tRNA synthetases). tRNAs cope with the degeneracy of the genetic code in two manners: having more than one tRNA (with a specific anti-codon) for a particular amino acid; and 'wobble' base-pairing, i.e. permitting non-standard base-pairing at the 3rd anti-codon position.
Source: RNAcentral
GCGCAGAUGGCGUAACUGGCAGCCGCGCCAGCUUGAGAGGCUGGUGGGUAACUCCCGUGGGGGUUCGACUCCCCCUCUGCGCACCA